RNAcentral lists this ribosomal RNA (582 nucleotides) under uncultured bacterium. Its description in RNAcentral is "partial 16S ribosomal RNA". It matches the Rfam family "Bacterial small subunit ribosomal RNA", at positions 355 to 1375 of the family's 1533-position model. The record is from RNAcentral.
UGGGGAAUUUUGGACAAUGGGCGAAAGCCUGAUCCAGCAAUGCCGCGUGUGUGAAGAAGGCCUUCGGGUUGUAAAGCACUUUUGUCCGGAAAGAAAUCCUUGGCUCUAAUACAGUCGGGGGAUGACGGUACCGGAAGAAUAAGCACCGGCUAACUACGUGCCAGCAGCCGCGGUAAUACGUAGGGUGCAAGCGUUAAUCGGAAUUACUGGGCGUAAAGCGUGCGCAGGCGGUUUGCUAAGACCGAUGUGAAAUCCCCGGGACAUCCAGGCAUGGAAUGCUGAUGCUGGCAGGCUAGAGUAUGGCAGAGGGGGUAGAAUUCCACGUGUAGCAGUGAAAUGCGUAGAGAUGUGGAGGAAUACCGAUGGCGAAGGCAGCCCCCUGGGCCAAUACUGACGCUCAUGCACGAAAGCGUGGGGAGCAAACAGGAUUAGAUACCCUGGUAGUCCACGCCCUAAACGAUGUCAACUAGUUGUUGGGGAUUCAUUUCCUUAGUAACGUAGCUAACGCGUGAAGUUGACCGCCUGGGGAGUACGGUCGCAAGAUUAAAACUUAAUGAAUUGACGGGGUCAUAGCUGUUUCCU